Molecule: transfer RNA, 73 nt
Filed under: Fasciola hepatica (liver fluke)
Lineage: Eukaryota; Metazoa; Platyhelminthes; Trematoda; Plagiorchiida; Fasciolidae
Rfam family: tRNA
About the family: Transfer RNA (tRNA) molecules are approximately 80 nucleotides in length.
Source: Rfam by way of RNAcentral
AUCGCGAUGGCUCAGUUGGUGGAGCACCUGUCCGGUAAGCGGAAUGUCGUCGAUUCGAUUCCGGCUCGCGGUG